Molecule: transfer-messenger RNA, 370 nt
Filed under: Mycoplasmopsis columbinasalis
Lineage: Bacteria; Bacillati; Mycoplasmatota; Mycoplasmoidales; Metamycoplasmataceae
Description: Standard tmRNA
Rfam family: transfer-messenger RNA
About the family: Bacterial tmRNA, also known as 10Sa RNA or SsrA, is named for its dual tRNA and mRNA-like properties. Its role is to liberate the mRNA from a stalled ribosome.
Source: Rfam by way of RNAcentral
GGGGAUGAAAUGGUCUCGACAUACUUUAGGAAUUAAUUACAUCAGUAGUGUGGCAGACUAUAAUGCUUUCUAGGCUUUUAGAAUCGCAAACGAAGAAAAAGCGGAAGUUAAACUUCCAGCAUUUGCUUAUGCAAAUGCAUAUUCAGCAAAUCUUGCUUUUGCUUAGUAAAUAGCAGCAAGUGGCUUAAAGAAAGAGAACGCUUCUUUAAGUUGGUUUAGAUCUCGUCUAAUACUAAUGUUAAAGUAUUGAUAAAUUGAAGUUUUUGUUUAUUUCUAAUUAAUUUAUCUUUUUCAAAAUAAACUAAACUGUAAAAAGUGUAGUUAAUGACUUAAUUUAUGGACGCGGGUUCGAUUCCCGUCAUCUCCACCA